ACGAACGCUGGCGGCGUGCCUAAUACAUGCCAGUAGAACGCACAGUUUAUACCGUAGCUUGCUACACCAUAAACUGAGCGUUGCGAACGGGUGAGUAACGCGUAGGUAACCUGCCUGGUAGCGGGGGAUAACUAUUGGAAACGAUAGCUAAUACCGCAUAAUAUUAAUUAUUGCAUGAUAAUUGAUUGAAAGAUGCAAUUGCAUCACUACCAGAUGGACCUGCGUUGUAUUAGCUAGUAGGUGAGGUAACGGCUCACCUAGGGGGCGAUACAUAGCCGCCCAGGGAGGGUGAUCUGCCACGCUGGGGCGGGGACACGGCCCCAACGCCUACGGGAGGCAGCCGUGGGGAAUCUGCGGGGAAAGAGGAAAGUCUGACCGAGCAACGGCGCGUGAGUGAAGAAGGUUCUCGGAUCGUAGAGCUCUGUUGUUAGGGAAGAACGGGCGUGAGGGUGGAAAGGUCGCGCUGGGACGGUAUCUUACCAGAGAGGGACGGCUAACUUCGGG
Molecule: ribosomal RNA, 504 nt
Filed under: uncultured bacterium
Lineage: Bacteria
Description: partial 16S ribosomal RNA
Rfam family: Bacterial small subunit ribosomal RNA
Source: RNAcentral